RNAcentral lists this ribosomal RNA (253 nucleotides) under uncultured bacterium. RNAcentral describes it as "partial 16S ribosomal RNA". It matches the Rfam family "Bacterial small subunit ribosomal RNA", at positions 524 to 776 of the family's 1533-position model. The record is from RNAcentral.
UACGUAGGGGGCAAGCGUUGUCCGGAUUUAUUGGGCGUAAAGCGCUCGCAGGUGGUCCGUCGCGUCGUGCGUGAAAGCCCCCGGCUCAACCGGGGAAGGUGGCUGCAAACUGGGCUUCUUGAGGGGGAUAGGGGAAAGUGGAAUUCCGGGUGUAGCGGUGAAAUGCGUAGAGAUCCGGAGGAACACCAGUGGCGAAGGCGGCUUUCUGGGUCCGCCCUGACGCUGAGGCGCGAAAGCGUGGGGAGCGAACGGG